RNAcentral lists this long non-coding RNA (366 nucleotides) under Setaria viridis. RNAcentral's name for it is "long non-coding RNA (SVIR_LNC010674)". The record is from RNAcentral. Lineage: Eukaryota; Viridiplantae; Streptophyta; Magnoliopsida; Poales; Poaceae.
UUCUUCUAAAAGGCCAAGAGUGGAUGAUGAGGGUGAUUCAGGGAAUGAUGACUCAAGGGAUGAUGACUAUGAGCCUAGUGAUACUGAGGUCGAAUCUUCAGUAGCUCCUUCAGUUAAUGUUGAGGAUGAUGAGAUGAAUUAAGAGGGUGAUGUGGAUGAGAUCAUUGAUGUGCUGUCACAUACUGCUCCUAAGAGGAAGUGGACCAUGGAUACAUAUUCAAGAGAAAGAACUCCUUAUCAAUACAUUCUUCCUCGUACCACUUCAAAUCUCUUCUUUUAUACUCAGAUACAAGAGGAUGCCUUCUUUGGUCAUUUGCUGAGUAAGACAGUCUUUAAGCACCAAACCAUAGAUUUUCAUUAUAUGGC